GCUCAAGGUCAAACAAUUCCGCAUGUUGGUAUUUAUCUACCGGAUUCUGUAUUUUCACACGGGCAACUUUAUGUGGCGUUAUCAAGAGGGAUUUCAAGACAAAAUACGAAGGUGUUGGUACAUCUCGCCAAAGAUUUCAAACAACGUGGAGUUUACACAUCAAAUGUUGUCUACCAUGAAGUGUUGCGUGAUUAAUUAACCGCAUCCAUAUCAAAAGGAAGUAGAGGAGAAGAUACAAGAAAGUCUUGAGCGAACGGAUGUAUUGGUAAAACAGGAAGAGAUACAAGAGACCCCCCGUAUUUUGUUUUUAGUGUUUUGUCCAGCUACUUGCCUGUUUUGUACUCUUCUUGUUUUUAAUUAUAUCUACUUCCUUGUUUUGCA
Molecule: long non-coding RNA, 381 nt
Organism: Helianthus annuus (common sunflower)
Lineage: Eukaryota; Viridiplantae; Streptophyta; Magnoliopsida; Asterales; Asteraceae
Exons: 2
Source: RefSeq, a predicted model, not a curated record